AGCUGCCCUGCGCCAGCUGCCCCCCGCCAGGGCAGCUGCUCCUCAGCCAGCCGGGACACUGGGCCUGCGGAGAGACGGCCUGCAAGAGGGGCCAUUCCACCUGGAGCUGUUCUCUCAGCAGCGCAAGAUGCAGUUACCUUCUACCCGCUUCGUGGUCAAAACUGUUUCUUCGUCACGGCACGUGGACUGGACAGAUGCCACCUCCCUGUUAGUCUGGGAGGACCUCAGGGCAACGAGGCGGUCGCAGCAUGCACACAGGUAGGUGACAGGGAUCUUCUUGCGCUGGUCUUUUUUUUCUGGGGCGCAUCCUGAUAUCCUUUGUCAUCCAGAGCUUUCCCCUUUGUUGCCAAGAAGAGUGAUGGUCGUGAUGUGGACCAAAUCCUUUGAGUAACAAUUUCUUCAAGUCUGAUUAUGAAGGUGCAAAGCCUCAUUUUGAGAGU
Harpia harpyja (harpy eagle) is the source of this 440-nucleotide long non-coding RNA. RefSeq lists it as uncharacterized. The record is from RefSeq and is a predicted model, not a curated record. NCBI's taxonomy places the organism in Eukaryota, Metazoa, Chordata, Aves, Accipitriformes, Accipitridae. The transcript has 3 exons.